AGUGAACGCUGGCGGUAGGCCUAACACAUGCAAGUCGAACGGCAGCACAGUAAGAGCUUGCUCUUACGGGUGGCGAGUGGCGGACGGGUGAGGAAUACAUCGGAAUCUACUUUUUCGUGGGGGAUAACGUAGGGAAACUUACGCUAAUACCGCAUACGACCUACGGGUGAAAGCAGGGGAUCUUCGGACCUUGCGCGAUUGAAUGAGCCGAUGUCGGAUUAGCUAGUUGGCGGGGUAAAGGCCCACCAAGGCGACGAUCCGUAGCUGGUCUGAGAGGAGGAUCGGCCACACUGGAACUGAGACACGGUCCAGACUCCUACGGGAGGCAGCAGUGGGGAAUAUUGGACAAUGGGCGCAAGCCUGAUCCAGCCAUACCGCGUGGGUGAAGAAGGCCUACGGGUUGUAAAGCCCUUUUGUUGGGAAAGAAAAGCAGCAGGUUAAUACCCCGCUGUUCUGACGGUACCCAAAGAAUAAGCACCGGCUAACUUCGUG
RNAcentral lists this ribosomal RNA (492 nucleotides) under uncultured bacterium. RNAcentral describes it as "partial 16S ribosomal RNA". It matches the Rfam family "Bacterial small subunit ribosomal RNA", at positions 29 to 507 of the family's 1533-position model. The record is from RNAcentral.